AAUCCAUGUUGAGAACACCUUCUCAACAAACCCUUGAAUCUUUCCCAUGUAUCAUAAAGAGCCCUAAUAUCAAACUGAACAAAAGAAGAGAUGUCAUUCCUCAACUU
This is a non-coding RNA of Gossypium raimondii (Peruvian cotton), 107 nucleotides long. The record is from Rfam. NCBI's taxonomy places the organism in Eukaryota, Viridiplantae, Streptophyta, Magnoliopsida, Malvales, Malvaceae.